Molecule: ribosomal RNA, 506 nt
Filed under: uncultured bacterium
Lineage: Bacteria
Description: partial 16S ribosomal RNA
Rfam family: Bacterial small subunit ribosomal RNA
Source: RNAcentral
AGUGAACGCUGGCGGUAGGCCUAACACAUGCAAGUCGAACGGCAGCACAGGAGAGCUUGCUCUCUGGGUGGCGAGUGGCGGACGGGUGAGGAAUACAUCGGAAUCUACUCUGUCGUGGGGGAUAACGUAGGGAAACUUACGCUAAUACCGCAUACGACCUACGGGUGAAAGCAGGGGCUCUUCGGACCUUGCGCGAUUGAAUGAGCCGAUGUCGGAUUAGCUAGUUGGCGGGGUAAAGGCCCACCAAGGCGACGAUCCGUAGCUGGUCUGAGAGGAUGAUCAGCCACACUGGAACUGAGACACGGUCCAGACUCCUACGAGAGGCAGCAGUGGGGAAUAUUGGACAAUGGGCGCAAGCCUGAUCCAGCCAUACCGCGUGGGUGAAGAAGGCCUUCGGGUUGUAAAGCCCUUUUGUUGGGAAAGAAAUCCAGCUGGCUAAUACCCGGUUGGGAUGACGGUACCCAAAGAAUAAGCACCGGCUAACUUCGUGCCAGCAGCCGCGGUAA